GGAAGGGGUGUAUUUAUUAGAUAAAAAACCAAUGCCCUUCGGGGCUCUUUGGUGAUUCAUGAUAACUUAACGGAUCGCAUGGCCUUGCGCCGGCGACGGUUCAUUCAAAUUUCUGCCCUAUCAACUUUCGAUGGUAAGGUAUUGGCUUACCAUGGUUUCAACGGGUAACGGGGAAUUAGGGUUCGAUUCCGGAGAGGGAGCCUGAGAAACGGCUACCACAUCCAAGGAAGGCAGCAGGCGCGCAAAUUACCCAAUCCCGACACGGGGAGGUAGUGACAAUAAAUACUGAUACAGGGCUCUUUUGGGUCUUGUAAUCGGAAUGAGUACAAUUUAAACCCCUUAACGAGGAACAAUUGGAGGGCAAGUCUGGUGCCAGCAGCCGCGGUAAUUCCAGCUCCAAUAGCGUAUAUUAAAGUUGUUGCAGUUAAAAAGCUCGUANUUGAACCUUGGGCCUGGCUGGCCGGUCCGCCUCACCGCGUGUACUGGGUCCGGCCGGGCCUUUCCUUCUGGAGAGCCGCAUGCCCUUCACUGGGUGUGUCGGGGAACCAGGACUUUUACUUUGAAAAAAUUA
This 571-nucleotide ribosomal RNA is filed under the name Pleosporormiella terricola. Its description in RNAcentral is "SSU rRNA". It matches the Rfam family "Eukaryotic small subunit ribosomal RNA", at positions 194 to 768 of the family's 1831-position model. Lineage: Eukaryota; Fungi; Ascomycota; Dothideomycetes; Pleosporales; Sporormiaceae. The record is from RNAcentral.